GACGAACGCUGGCGGCGUGCCUAAUACAUGCAAGUAGAACGCACAGUUUAUACCGUAGCUUGCUACACCAUAGACUGUGAGUUGCGAACGGGUGAGUAACGCGUAGGUAACCUGCCUGGUAGCGGGGGAUAACUAUUGGAAACGAUAGCUAAUACCGCAUAAUAUUAAUUAUUGCAUGAUAAUUAAUUGAAAGGUGCAAUUGCACCACUACCAGAUGGACCAGCGUUGUAUUAGCUAGUAGGUGAGGUAACGGCUCACCUAGGCGACGAUACAUAGCCGACCUGAGAGGGUGAUCGGCCACACUGGGACUGAGACACGGCCCAGACUCCUACGGGAGGCAGCAGUAGGGAAUCUUCGGCAAUGGACGAAAGUCUGACCGAGCAACGCCGCGUGAGUGAAGAAGGUUUUCGGAUCGUAAAGCUCUGUUGUAAGAGAAGAACGGGUGUGAGAGUGGAAAGUUCACACUGUGACGGUAUCUUACCAGAAAGGGACGGCUAACUACGUG
Molecule: ribosomal RNA, 505 nt
Filed under: uncultured bacterium
Lineage: Bacteria
Description: partial 16S ribosomal RNA
Rfam family: Bacterial small subunit ribosomal RNA
Source: RNAcentral